This 253-nucleotide ribosomal RNA is filed under the name uncultured bacterium. Its description in RNAcentral is "partial 16S ribosomal RNA". It matches the Rfam family "Bacterial small subunit ribosomal RNA", at positions 524 to 776 of the family's 1533-position model. The record is from RNAcentral.
UACGGAGGGUGCAAGCGUUGUCCGGAUUUAUUGGGUUUAAAGGGUGCGUAGGCGGUCUUUUAAGUCAGUGGUGAAAUCCUCCAGCUUAACUGGAGAACUGCCAUUGAUACUGGGAGACUUGAGUACAGACGAGGUAGGCGGAAUUGACAGUGUAGCGGUGAAAUGCAUAGAUAUGACAUAGAACACCGAUAGCGAAGGCAGCUUGCUACACAAUUAUUGACACUGAGGCUCGAAAGCGUGGGGAUCAAACAGG